AUUGAACUCCCUCUGUCCCAAAACUCUUGUCUUAGAUUUGUCUAAAUACGGAUGUAUCAAGUCAUGUUUUAGUAUUAGAUACAUCCAUAUCUAGACAAAUCUAAGACAAGAAUUUUGGGACGGAGGGGGUACACU
This is a non-coding RNA of Triticum aestivum (bread wheat), 135 nucleotides long. The record is from Rfam. NCBI's taxonomy places the organism in Eukaryota, Viridiplantae, Streptophyta, Magnoliopsida, Poales, Poaceae.